RNAcentral lists this ribosomal RNA (492 nucleotides) under uncultured bacterium. RNAcentral's name for it is "partial 16S ribosomal RNA". It matches the Rfam family "Bacterial small subunit ribosomal RNA", at positions 29 to 507 of the family's 1533-position model. The record is from RNAcentral.
AGUGAACGCUGGCGGUAGGCCUAACACAUGCAAGUCGAACGGCAGCACAGUAAGAGCUUGCUCUUACGGGUGGCGAGUGGCGGACGGGUGAGGCAUACAUCGGAAUCUACUUUUUCGUGGGGGAUAACGUAGGGAAACUUACGCUAAUACCGCAUACGACCUACGGGUGAAAGCAGGGGAUCUUCGGACCUUGCGCGAUUGAAUGAGCCGAUGUCGGAUUAGCUAGUUGGCGGGGUAAAGGCCCACCAAGGCGACGAUCCGUAGCUGGUCUGAGAGGAUGAUCAGCCACACUGGAACUGAGACACGGUCCAGACUCCUACGGGAGGCAGCAGUGGGGAAUAUUGGGCAAUGGGCGCAAGCCUGAUCCAGCCAUACCGCGUGGGUGAAGAAGGCCUUCGGGUUGUAAAGCCCUGUUGUUGGGAAAGAAAAGCAGCAUGUUAAUACCCCGCUGUUCUGACGGUACCCAAAGAAUAAGCACCGGCUAACUUCGUG